CCUACGGGAGGCAGCAGUGGGGAAUAUUGCACAAUGGGCGCAAGCCUGAUGCAGCGACGCCGCGUGAGGGAUGACGGCCUUCGGGUUGUAAACCUCUUUCAGUAGGGAAGAAGCGAAAGUGACGGUACCUGCAGAAGAAGCGCCGGCUAACUACGUGCCAGCAGCCGCGGUAAUACGUAGGGCGCAAGCGUUAUCCGGAAUUAUUGGGCGUAAAGAGCUCGUAGGCGGUUUGUCGCGUCUGCCGUGAAAGUCCGGGGCUCAACUCCGGAUCUGCGGUGGGUACGGGCAGACUAGAGUGAUGUAGGGGAGACUGGAAUUCCUGGUGUAGCGGUGAAAUGCGCAGAUAUCAGGAGGAACACCGAUGGCGAAGGCAGGUCUCUGGGCAUUAACUGACGCUGAGGAGCGAAAGCAUGGGGAGCGAACAGGAUUAGAUACCCUGGUAGUCCAUGCCGUAAACGUUGGGCACUAGGUGUGGGGGACAUUCCACGUUUUCCGCGCCGUAGCUAACGCAUUAAGUGCCCGCCUGGGGAGGUACGGCCGCGAGACGUAAACGUUAAAGUAGUUAGUUAGUACGGCGUUGAGACGNGCCGACGGACGACGACGAGGGAGGAGG
This 613-nucleotide ribosomal RNA is filed under the name uncultured bacterium. RNAcentral's name for it is "bacterial SSU rRNA". The stretch from base 1 to 524 matches the Rfam family "Bacterial small subunit ribosomal RNA", at positions 338 to 873 of the family's 1533-position model. The record is from RNAcentral.